GGGUGCUAAAUCUGUGCAUGCUUCAGGUACCCUGCAUUACUAACAGUACUUAUUUUUGGCAGACAAUGCAUCCUUUGGUGAAAGCCUGUUGAGGACUAUUCCACCACUGCUCAUGGAGUACUUGGAAAGCCUCCGAAUUGAAGUAUUAUUGGUCUUGAUACAAAGCCAGUGGAAAUAUCCACAUUACAUUUAAUGGCCUCUGGAGCACUUACAGAAAUGUGAUGUCUUACUGGCCCACUUGGUACAACCGCACCAGUGAAGAUCAUUCUAGUCUGAAAUGUGAGAAGUUUGACUUUAAGAACCAGAAUGUACCAAAAAGGGAACCCCUGACAGCUUUCACUCUGUGCCACAACAGAUGCUCCCCUGCUCAGACAGCUCAGGCUGUGGUCCUCCUUCCUGCAGAGAGAGCCCCUCAUGAUGUUCCCCUCAGACCUUAAUGAGUUUAGUCUGCAUGACUUCCCCUUCUGGUGACAUUAUCAGAAGGAAUUACUGUGUACCAUUACCUUUCGGCAAUGAAGGCUGACAGGUCUCCCUCCUCUCUCCUCUACCAAGCAACGUGCAGUUCCCCAAGACAGGAAGGUAUUGUCUAGAUUUGACCCUUUGAAGUUUCCCUCACCUCCACCUACAGCUUGCUGCAAUUUCAGUUCGUGCUGCCCUGUCCUGUGUGCUCAGAGGUGGUGGAUACCCCUGUGACUGUUAUAGCUGUGGUGCCAGGGACAGGGGAUGCUGUGCAAGGCUCCCCGUGACCCCUCCUGUCCAGUCCUGUUGGCGGGGACUGCUGACAAGGGGCAUGAAUCUGCAAGCUGGGAAGGCUGAAAGGAUGUAAUGUAAUGAUUUCUCAGGUGACUUCAAAACCGUUUAAAGAAAGAAAAACAUGCCCACCCCAAAUGACCUCUACAGUGGCAAUAAAUGAGCAUCCUACCAAAGUGCCA
Coturnix japonica (Japanese quail) is the source of this 932-nucleotide long non-coding RNA. Lineage: Eukaryota; Metazoa; Chordata; Aves; Galliformes; Phasianidae. The record is from Ensembl.